GUGGAGGUGGCCGAGUGGUCUAAGGCGCUGGUUUUAGGCACCAGUCUUCGGGCGCGGGUUCGAACCCCGCCCUCCAUA
The sequence is a transfer RNA, 78 nucleotides long. It matches the Rfam family "tRNA". Rfam says of the family: Transfer RNA (tRNA) molecules are approximately 80 nucleotides in length. Their secondary structure includes four short double-helical elements and three loops (D, anti-codon, and T loops). The record is from Rfam.